CGCCCGCUGGAUGAGCGGCAGCGCAUCGCCGGACACGCAAUCAGGAUAACGGCGCAACAGCCGCGCGUCCCAAUUGUGCGCGAGCGC
Molecule: transfer RNA, 87 nt
Filed under: Caballeronia terrestris
Lineage: Bacteria; Pseudomonadati; Pseudomonadota; Betaproteobacteria; Burkholderiales; Burkholderiaceae
Description: tRNA-Ala
Source: RNAcentral